RNAcentral lists this long non-coding RNA (1622 nucleotides) under Mus musculus (house mouse). Its description in RNAcentral is "RIKEN cDNA 2810403G07 gene". The record is from RNAcentral. Lineage: Eukaryota; Metazoa; Chordata; Mammalia; Rodentia; Muridae.
CUCAGUCGUGACAACCCUUUACCAGAAUUGCUUACAUACAAGCCAUUCCUGAAUAUGACCCGCCUCCCCUUUCCCACCAGCAGUUAACCUCCAGCACACACGGGGGUCACUGAGUAGCAGCUUUGAAGAGGAAGCCUCUUCAAUUCACUGCACAGUCAGCACAGCUUCUCAAGUUUUCAUCUUUUCCUAAAAGACCAAGUUAUCUUUUCCUCUGAUAAUGGUUUCUCUGUAUAGCCCUGGCUGUCCUCUGUCCUGGAACUCACUCUGUUGACCAGCCUGGCCUCAGAAAUCCACCUGCCUCUGCCUCCCAAGUGCUGGGAUUAAAGGUGUGCGCAACUACUGCGCGGUUGUGUGAUCAUCUUCCUAAAAAUCAGGUUAGCAUAGGAAGGCUCUCCAUGAGAGCCAAGCUGUGGUGCUCCCUGGUCACCCAGCUCCUCACUCUGUGGAGGUGACUCCUUCUAAGGGCCCGGGCCCUGGGAGUUGGUGUGUACGGAGGAUCCUGGACCACCCUGUGUGACCAUGGGGAGCUAGGCCCUGAGCCAAGGCUGGGAAGCCAAUCUGGGUGCCUUAGGAUGGAUUACUUAACCUCUGAUCCAAGACCUCUGGAGAAAACUGGGAAGUGUUCUAUUAUUGUCACCCCUGCUUGUGGGUGAGUUCAGAACCGCCAGGAAGAAUGCAGGAAAAUGUGGGGGGAAGGAACAGUGAAUGGUAUGUAAGGAAAGGAAGGAGAGAGUUAAAAAACAACAGCAACAACAACAACUUUUCAAAACAGAAUCGGGAAGCUACUGAAGGGACAAGAACUCACACAUUUCUACAGCUGCUGCCUGGAAUGUGGACUGUGGUCACCACCAUAGUAUAUAGUGAUGUAUUCUGGAAGUUAUUGGACUUGUGUUUUUGUAUGCCCAUUUCUCUUCUGUUUAUAUAUUCUAUUUAUCUUCCACUGGUCCCUGUUGUUAAUCAAAUAAUAACAGAAGUUUCUUACGGAGAAAACUAUUCCUUUUGUAAGAAGUCAGCUCCACCUGUCCCUGAAAGCCCCCAUCUUACCUGCUUUCCUUGGGACACAGGUCAGAGUUCUGAGCUAUAAUACUUUUGAAAAAUUCUAAAUUAUGUGUAUUUGCAUAAGGGUAAGUGCACAUGAGUGCAAGUGCCUGAAGAGUCCAGAAGAGGGAGUCGGAUCCCCCAGUUGUGAGUGGCCCAUUGUGGGUAUGGGGAACUGAACUCUGUUCCUUUGUAAGAGCAAUGUGUACUGUAUUCUUGACCGUUGGACUAGCUCUCCAGUCCCUGAAUUUGUGCUUCUGAAGACCCGGAAAUGAAGCUCCUUUAUUGACAGUUUCUGAGUGUGAACAGAUCAAUAAUUGGGAUCCUCUUAAGGCACAAUAGUCUCAAAGAGGUCUGAGUUUGAUUAAAAGCAUAAGUUAUACAUUAGUUUUAAGAGUAGAUAUAAGCAUGUUAGUCUUAGGCACAUUCCUUUACAGUUAUAUAGCUGUAGAAAUAAGUAAUCCCCCUGGGAUUGCUCUAAAUACCUAAGAGGAGAUUAAAAAAUAUAUAUAUAGUGUAGCCAACCAACCAUUCUCAUCCAAAUUGAUAUUGCUGGAAAUUAAGUGCUUAAGAAAAAUAAAAAC